Molecule: non-coding RNA, 512 nt
Organism: Pelobates cultripes (western spadefoot toad)
Lineage: Eukaryota; Metazoa; Chordata; Amphibia; Anura; Pelobatidae
Source: the annotation of a GenBank genome assembly
CCUCCACGUGCCUAUAUGACCACCUUACAACGCCUGUGCAUGCUCCUGAUGAGGUGGCGGAUGGUCUCCUGAGGGAUCUCCUCCAGGACCUGGACUAAAGCAUCUGCCAACUCCUGGACAGUCUUUGGUGCAACGUGACGUUGGUGGAUGGAGCGAGACAUGAUGUCCCAGAUGUGCUCAAUUGGAUUCAGGUCUGGGGAACGGGCGGGCCAGUCCAUAGCUUCAAUCCCUUCGUCUUGCAGGAACUGCUGACACACUCCAGCCACAUGAGGUCUAGCAUUGUCUUGCAUUAGGAGGAACCCAGGGCCAACAGCACCAGCACAUGUUCUCACAAGGGGUCUGAGGAUCUCAUCUCGGUACCUAAUGGCAGUCAGGCUACCUCUGGCAAUCACAUGGAGGGCUGUGCGGCCCCCCAAAGAAAUGCCACCCCACACCAUUACUGACCCACUACCAAACUGGUCAUGCUGGAGUAUGUUGCAGGCAGCAGAAUGUUCUCCACGGCGUCUCCAGAC